Molecule: unclassified non-coding RNA, 331 nt
Filed under: soil metagenome
Description: partial contains 5.8S ribosomal RNA, internal transcribed spacer 2, and large subunit ribosomal RNA
Rfam family: 5.8S ribosomal RNA (bases 1-120)
Source: RNAcentral
GAUGAAGAACGUAGUGAAAUGCGAUAAGUAAUGUGAAUUGCAGAAUUCAGUGAAUCAUCGAAUCUCUGAACGCACAUUGCGCCCCCUGGUAUUCCGGGGGGCAUGCCUGUUCGAGCGUCAUUUCACCACUCAAGCCUCGCUUGGUAUUGGGCAACGCGGUCCGCCGCGUGCCUCAAAUCGACCGGCUGGGUCUUCUGUCCCCUAAGCGUUGUGGAAACUAUUCGCUAAAGGGUGUUCGGGAGGCUACGCCGUAAAACAACCCCAUUUCUAAGGUUGACCUCGGAUCAGGUAGGGAUACCCGCUGAACUUAAGCAUAUCAAUAAGCGGAGGA